AGUGAACGCUGGCGGUAGGCCUAACACAUGCAAGUCGAACGGCAGCACAGUAAGAGCUUGCUCGUACGGUUGGCGAGUGGCGGACGGGUGAUGAAUAAAUCGGAAUCUACUUUUUCGUGGGUGAGAACGUAGGGAAACGUACGCUAAUACCGCAUACGACCUACGGGUGAAAGCAGUGUAUCUUCGGACCUUGCGCGAUUGAAUGAGCCGAUGUCGGAUUAGCUAGUUGGCGGGGUAAAGGCCCACCAAGGCGACGAUCCGUAGCUGGUCUGAGAGGAUGAUAAGCCACACUGGAACUGAGCCACGGUCCCGACUACUACGAGAGGCAGCAGUGGGGAACAUUGGACAAUGGUGGCAAGCAUGAUCCAGCGAUACCGAGUCGGUGACGAAGGCGUUGCGGUUGUAAAGACGUUUUGUUGGGAAAGAAAAGCAGCAGGUUAAUACCAAGCUGUUCUGACGGUACCCACAGAAUAAGCACCGGCUAACUUCGUG
Molecule: ribosomal RNA, 492 nt
Filed under: uncultured bacterium
Lineage: Bacteria
Description: partial 16S ribosomal RNA
Rfam family: Bacterial small subunit ribosomal RNA
Source: RNAcentral